CUACGGGGGGCAGCAGUGGGGGAUAUUGCACAAUGGGCGAAAGCCUGAUGCAGCAACGCCGCGUGAAGGAAGACGGUUUUCGGAUUGUAAACUUCUAUCAGCAGGGAAGAAAAUGACUGUACCUGACUAAGAAGCCCCGGCUAACUACGUGCCAGCAGCCGCGGUAAUACGUAGGGGGCAAGCGUUAUCCGGAAUUACUGGGUGUAAAGGGUACGUAGGCGGCUGAUCAAGUCAGAUGUGAAAGCCCGGAGCUCAACUCCGGGACUGCAUUUGAAACUGGUCGGCUAGAGUGCAGGAGAGGAAAGUGGAAUUCCUAGUGUAGCGGUGAAAUGCGUAGAUAUUAGGAAGAACACCAGUGGCGAAGGCGGCUUUCUGGACUGUAACUGACGCUGAGGUACGAAAGCGUGGGGAGCGAACAGGAUUAGAUACCCUGGUAGUC
RNAcentral lists this ribosomal RNA (439 nucleotides) under uncultured bacterium. RNAcentral's name for it is "partial 16S ribosomal RNA". It matches the Rfam family "Bacterial small subunit ribosomal RNA", at positions 339 to 795 of the family's 1533-position model. The record is from RNAcentral.